RNAcentral lists this ribosomal RNA (617 nucleotides) under Blastocystis sp. RNAcentral's name for it is "SSU rRNA". It matches the Rfam family "Eukaryotic small subunit ribosomal RNA", at positions 1 to 629 of the family's 1831-position model. Lineage: Eukaryota; Bigyra; Opalinata; Blastocystidae. The record is from RNAcentral.
AUCUGGUUGAUCCUGCCAGUAGUCAUACGCUCGUCUCAAAGAUUAAGCCAUCCAUGUGUAAGUAUAAAUAUUUUUACUUUGAAACUGCGAAUGGCUCAUUAUAUCAGUUAUAGUUUAUUAGAAAUAUUUUACUACUUGGAUAACCGUAGUAAUUCUAGGGCUAAUACAUGAGUAAAACCUCAACUUCGGAAGAGGUGUGUUUAUUAGUAUGAAAACCAUAUAUCUUCGGAUAUAAUAGUGAGUAAUAAUAACCUUUCAUAUCGUAUGUCGUAAGAUAACGAUAGUUCUUUCAAGUUUCUGCCCUAUCAGCUUUCGAUGGUAGUAUAUGGGACUACCAUGGCAGUAACGGGUAACGAAGAAUUUGGGUUCGAUUUCGGAGAGGGAGCCUGAGAGAUGGCUACCACAUCCAAGGAAGGCAGCAGGCGCGUAAAUUACCCAAUCCUGACAUAGGGAGGUAGUGACAAUAAAUCACAAUGCGGAACUUUUAGUUUUGCAAUUGGAUUGAGAACAAUGUACAAAUGUUAUCGAUAAACAAUUGGAGGGCAAGUCUGGUGCCAGCAGCCGCGGGAAUUCCAGCUCCAAUAGCGUAUAUUAACGUUGUUGCAGUUAAAAAGCUC